Molecule: ribosomal RNA, 460 nt
Filed under: uncultured bacterium
Lineage: Bacteria
Description: partial 16S ribosomal RNA
Rfam family: Bacterial small subunit ribosomal RNA
Source: RNAcentral
ACUACGGGAGGCAGCAGUGAGGAAUAUUGGUCAAUGGACGCAAGUCUGAACCAGCCAUGCCGCGUGCAGGAAGACGGCUCUAUGAGUUGUAAACUGCUUUUGUACGAGGGUAAAUCCCGAUACGUGCAUCCGGUUGCAAGUAUCGUACGAAUACGGAUCGGCUAACUCUGUGCCAGCAGCCGCGGUAAUACGGAGGAUUCAAGCGUUAUCCGGAUUUAGUGGGUUUAAAGGGUGCGUAGGCGGUUCGGUAAGUUAGAGGUGAAAACCCGGGGCUCAACUCCGGCACUGCCUCUGAUACUGUCGAGCUAGAGUUUAGUAGAGGUAGGCGGAAUGUAUGGGGUAGCGGUGAAAUGCAGAGAGAUCAUGCAGAACACCGAUUGCGAAGGCAGCUUACCAAACUACGACUGACGUUGAGGCACGAAAGCGUGGGGAGCAAACAGGAUUAGAUACCCGGGUAGUC